AAUACCGCAUAACAACUUGGACCGCAUGGUCCGAGUUUGAAAGAUGGCUUCGGCUAUCACUUUUGGAUGGUCCCGCGGCGUAUUAGCUAGAUGGUGGGGUAACGGCUCACCAUGGCAAUGAUACGUAGCCGACCUGAGAGGGUAAUCGGCCACAUUGGGACUGAGACACGGCCCAAACUCCUACGGGAGGCAGCAGUAGGGAAUCUUCCACAAUGGACGAAAGUCUGAUGGAGCAACGCCGCGUGAGUGAAGAAGGGUUUCGGCUCGUAAAACUCUGUUGUUAAAGAAGAACAUAUCUGAGAGUAACUGUUCAGGUAUUGACGGUAUUUAACCAGAAAGCCACGGCUAACUACGUGCCAGCAGCCGCGGUAAUACGUAGGUGGCAAGCGUUGUCCGGAUUUAUUGGGCGUAAAGCGAGCGCAGGCGGUUUUUUAAGUCUGAUGUGAAAGCCUUCGGCUCAACCGAAGAAGUGCAUCGGAAACUGGGAAACUUGAGUGCA
RNAcentral lists this ribosomal RNA (499 nucleotides) under Lactiplantibacillus pentosus. Its description in RNAcentral is "bacterial SSU rRNA". It matches the Rfam family "Bacterial small subunit ribosomal RNA", at positions 165 to 650 of the family's 1533-position model. The record is from RNAcentral. Lineage: Bacteria; Bacillati; Bacillota; Bacilli; Lactobacillales; Lactobacillaceae.